This 740-nucleotide ribosomal RNA is filed under the name Bacillus sp. (in: firmicutes). RNAcentral's name for it is "bacterial SSU rRNA". It matches the Rfam family "Bacterial small subunit ribosomal RNA", at positions 50 to 772 of the family's 1533-position model. Lineage: Bacteria; Bacillati; Bacillota; Bacilli; Caryophanales; Bacillaceae. The record is from RNAcentral.
UAUACAUGCAGUCGAGCGGACCGACGGGAGCUUGCUCCCUUAGGUCAGCGGCGGACGGGUGAGUAACACGUGGGUAACCUGCCUGUAAGACUGGGAUAACUCCGGGAAACCGGGGCUAAUACCGGAUGCUUGAUUGAACCGCAUGGUUCAAUCAUAAAAGGUGGCUUUUAGCUACCACUUACAGAUGGACCCGCGGCGCAUUAGCUAGUUGGUGAGGUAACGGCUCACCAAGGCGACGAUGCGUAGCCGACCUGAGAGGGUGAUCGGCCACACUGGGACUGAGACACGGCCCAGACUCCUACGGGAGGCAGCAGUAGGGAAUCUUCCGCAAUGGACGAAAGUCUGACGGAGCAACGCCGCGUGAGUGAUGAAGGUUUUCGGAUCGUAAAACUCUGUUGUUAGGGAAGAACAAGUACCGUUCGAAUAGGGCGGCACCUUGACGGUACCUAACCAGAAAGCCACGGCUAACUACGUGCCAGCAGCCGCGGUAAUACGUAGGUGGCAAGCGUUGUCCGGAAUUAUUGGGCGUAAAGCGCGCGCAGGCGGUUUCUUAAGUCUGAUGUGAAAGCCCCCGGCUCAACCGGGGAGGGUCAUUGGAAACUGGGGAACUUGAGUGCAGAAGAGGAGAGUGGAAUUCCACGUGUAGCGGUGAAAUGCGUAGAGAUGUGGAGGAACACCAGUGGCGAAGGCGACUCUCUGGUCUGUAACUGACGCUGAGGCGCGAAAGCGUGGGGAGCGAA